RNAcentral lists this ribosomal RNA (387 nucleotides) under Chloroidium sp. Its description in RNAcentral is "partial small subunit ribosomal RNA". It matches the Rfam family "Eukaryotic small subunit ribosomal RNA", at positions 582 to 975 of the family's 1831-position model. The record is from RNAcentral. Lineage: Eukaryota; Viridiplantae; Chlorophyta; Trebouxiophyceae; Watanabeales; Watanabeaceae.
AUUCCAGCUCCAAUAGCGUAUAUUUAAGUUGUUGCAGUUAAAAAGCUCGUAGUUGGAUUUCGGGCGGGGCCUGCCGGUCCGCCUUUGGUGUGCACUGGCAUGGGCUCGCCUCGCUGGCGGGGACGGGCUCCUGGGCUUAACUGUCCGGGACUCGGAGUCGCCGAGGUUACUUUGAGUAAAUUAGAGUGUUCAAAGCAGGCCUACGCUCUGAAUACGUUAGCAUGGAAUAACACGAUAGGACUCUGGCCUAUCUUGUUGGUCUGUGGGACCGGAGUAAUGAUUAAGAGGGACGGUCGGGGGCAUUCGUAUUUCAUUGUCAGAGGUGAAAUUCUUGGAUUUAUGAAAGACGAACUUCUGCGAAAGCAUUUGCCAAGGAUGUUUUCAUUA